AGUGAACGCUGGCGGUAGGCCUAACACAUGCAAGUCGAACGGCAGCACAGUAAGAGCUUGCUCUUACGGGUGGCGAGUGGCGGACGGGUGAGGAAUACAUCGGAAUCUACUUUUUCGUGGGGGAUAACGUAGGGAAACUUACGCUAAUACCGCAUACGACCUACGGGUGAAAGCAGGGGAUCUUCGGACCUUGCGCGAUUGAAUGAGCCGAUGUCGGAUUAGCUGGUUGGCGGGGUAAAGGCCCACCAAGGCCAGGAUCCGUAGCUGGUCUGAGAGGAUAGUCGCCCCACCGGAACCUGAGAACCGGCCCAACCCCCUACGGAGGGAGCCGUUGGGAAAUUUUGGACAAUGGCCGAAGCCCUAAUCCGGCCAUACCGCGGGGGUGAAGAAGGCCUUCGGGUUGUAAAGCCUUUUUGUUGGGAAGAAAAAGCGUCAGGUUAACUCCCCGCGGUUCUACCGUAACCAAAAAAAUAGCCACCGCCAACUUCCGU
RNAcentral lists this ribosomal RNA (491 nucleotides) under uncultured bacterium. Its description in RNAcentral is "partial 16S ribosomal RNA". It matches the Rfam family "Bacterial small subunit ribosomal RNA", at positions 29 to 506 of the family's 1533-position model. The record is from RNAcentral.